ACAUACGACCAUAGGUAGUGUAGACCACGGGAUCCCGUCCGCUCUCCCAUAGUUAAGCCACUAACCGGCGGAUUAGUAGUUGGGUCGGUGACGACCAGCGAAUCCCCGCUGUUGUAUGUU
Ribosomal RNA from Fusarium fujikuroi IMI 58289, 120 nucleotides. The record is from Rfam. NCBI's taxonomy places the organism in Eukaryota, Fungi, Ascomycota, Sordariomycetes, Hypocreales, Nectriaceae.